GGAUCCAGACUUUGAUUCUGGCUCAGGACGAACGCUGGCGGCGUGCCUAACACAUGCAAGUCGAACGGAACUUUUUUAAUUGACUUCUCCGGAAUGAUUUUGAUUAAGUUUAGUGGCGGACGGGUGAGUAACGCGUGAGUAACCUGCCUCUAAGAGGGGAAUAACAUUCUGAAAAGAAUGCUAAUACCGCAUAAUAUAUAUUUAUCGCAUGGUAGAUAUAUCAAAGAUUUAUCGCUUAGAGAUGGACUCGCGUCCGAUUAGUUAGUUGGUGAGGUAACGGCUCACCAAGACCGCGAUCGGUAGCCGGACUGAGAGGUUGAACGGCCACAUUGGGACUGAGACACGGCCCAGACUCCUACGGGAGGCAGCAGUGGGGGAUAUUGCGCAAUGGGGGAAACCCUGACGCAGCAACGCCGCGUGAAGGAUGAAGGUCUUCGGAUUGUAAACUUCUUUUAUUAAGGACGAAGAAAGUGACGGUACUUAAUGAAUAAGCUCCGGCUAACUACGUGCCAGCAGCCGCGGUAAUACGUAGGGAGCAAGCGUUGUCCGGAUUUACUGGGUGUAAAGGGUGCGUAGGCGGCUUUGCAAGUCAGAUGUGAAAUCUAUGGGCCCAACCCAUAGCCUGCAUUUGAAACUGCAGAGCUUGAGUGAAGUAGAGGCAGGCGGAAUUCCCCGUGUAGCGGUGAAAUGCGUAGAGAUGGGGAGGAACACCAGUGGCGAAGGCGGCCUGCUGGGCUUUAACUGACGCUGAGGCACGAAAGCGUGGGUAGCAAACAGGAUUAGAUACCCUGGUAGUCCACGCUGUAAACGAUGAUUACUAGGUGUGGGGGGUCUGACCCCUUCCGUGCCGGAGUUAACACAAUAAGUAAUCCACCUGGGGAGUACGGCCGCAAGGUUGCAACUCAAAUGAAUUGACGG
Molecule: ribosomal RNA, 918 nt
Filed under: uncultured Bacillota bacterium
Lineage: Bacteria; Bacillati; Bacillota
Description: bacterial SSU rRNA
Rfam family: Bacterial small subunit ribosomal RNA
Source: RNAcentral